RNAcentral lists this ribosomal RNA (393 nucleotides) under uncultured Oscillospiraceae bacterium. RNAcentral describes it as "bacterial SSU rRNA". It matches the Rfam family "Bacterial small subunit ribosomal RNA", at positions 355 to 762 of the family's 1533-position model. Lineage: Bacteria; Bacillati; Bacillota; Clostridia; Eubacteriales; Oscillospiraceae. The record is from RNAcentral.
UGGGGGAUAUUGCACAAUGGAGGAAACUCUGAUGCAGCAACGCCGCGUGAGGGAAGAAGGUUUUCGGAUUGUAAACCUCUGUUUUUAGUGAAGAAACAAAUGACGGUAGCUAAAGAGGAAGCCACGGCUAACUACGUGCCAGCAGCCGCGGUAAUACGUAGGUGGCAAGCGUUGUCCGGAAUUACUGGGUGUAAAGGGUGCGCAGGCGGGAUAGCAAGUCAGCGGUGAAAUGCAUGGGCUUAACUCAUGAGCUGCCGUUGAAACUGUUAUUCUUGAGUGGAGUAGAGGCAGGCGGAAUUCCGAGUGUAGCGGUGAAAUGCGUAGAUAUUCGGAGGAACACCAGUGGCGAAGGCGGCCUGCUGGGCUCUAACUGACGCUGAGGCUCGAAAGUGU